RNAcentral lists this transfer RNA (72 nucleotides) under Helicosporidium sp. ex Simulium jonesi. RNAcentral's name for it is "tRNA-Glu". It matches the Rfam family "tRNA". From Rfam's summary of the family: Transfer RNA (tRNA) molecules are approximately 80 nucleotides in length. Their secondary structure includes four short double-helical elements and three loops (D, anti-codon, and T loops). The record is from RNAcentral. Lineage: Eukaryota; Viridiplantae; Chlorophyta; Trebouxiophyceae; Chlorellales; Chlorellaceae.
GUCUUCUUCGUCUAGGGGUUAGGACAUCGCCUUUUCACGGCGGAAACACGAGUUCGAUUCUCGUAGAAGAUA